GAGUUUGAUCCUGGCUCAGAUUGAACGCUGGCGGCAUGCCUUACACAUGCAAGUCGAACGGUAACGCGGGGCAACCUGGCGACGAGUGGCGAACGGGUGAGUAACACAUCGGAACGUGCCCAGUAGUGGGGGAUAGCCCGGCGAAAGCCGGAUUAAUACCGCAUACGACCUACGGGUGAAAGCAGGGGAUCGCAAGACCUUGCGCUAUUGGAGCGGCCGAUGGCAGAUUAGGUAGUUGGUGGGGUAAAAGCCUACCAAGCCGACGAUCUGUAGCUGGUCUGAGAGGACGACCAGCCACACUGGGACUGAGACAC
This 314-nucleotide ribosomal RNA is filed under the name uncultured beta proteobacterium 255ev. Its description in RNAcentral is "bacterial SSU rRNA". It matches the Rfam family "Bacterial small subunit ribosomal RNA", at positions 9 to 327 of the family's 1533-position model. Lineage: Bacteria; Pseudomonadati; Pseudomonadota; Betaproteobacteria. The record is from RNAcentral.